Molecule: non-coding RNA, 32 nt
Filed under: Geobacter sulfurreducens PCA
Lineage: Bacteria; Pseudomonadati; Thermodesulfobacteriota; Desulfuromonadia; Geobacterales; Geobacteraceae
Source: RNAcentral
CGCACGAAUGUCCUCGGCCCUCCAUGCCGUAC